This is a long non-coding RNA of Papilio xuthus (Asian swallowtail), 399 nucleotides long. RefSeq lists it as uncharacterized. The record is from RefSeq and is a predicted model, not a curated record. The transcript has 2 exons. Lineage: Eukaryota; Metazoa; Arthropoda; Insecta; Lepidoptera; Papilionidae.
UUUUAUAAAAGUGAUCCAACAAAGAAUUUCAGGAAAAUUUUAUAUCUUAUUAAAUCAAAUUAGAAAAAUAAACGAUUGAAACUAUAUAUCAUGCAACAUAAGAAAUGGAGAAGAAAAAAAGCGCUGUACAAAUCAGCUUACUAUCUUCUAUUACAGCAGUUACCGCUGUUGGAGAAGCAAAGCUGUAUAUUAAAGCCAGGUUAUUAAAUGGAAGUGUCAAAGGUUUGGUGCUGAACAUGGCUGAGGUUUGAAGUACUCUGCGAGGGCGAUCAUCGCAUCGAGAUGUUUCAUUAAACUAAGUUAGUCUCGUAAGCAUAUAUUUCUAUAAUAAAGCCUAGCGUCAGCGUUGUUAUAUAAUUAGCGCAGCAACCACGAACAAUAAAUACUGUUUCGUAUUUU